GCAACCUGGCCACAGUCUGUUUCCUGCACCCAUUGGGUGUCAACCUCAGGCAAAGGGACUCUGCGCUUUGACUUCUUCCUCUGCAAAAUGGGAAUAAUAAUAGUGAUGAGUCCUCUAUGUAACUUUAGGAGUACAUGAAAACAGGUCAGGAAAUGCAACAUGGGGCCUAGGUGUAGUAAGGGCUGCGUGAAAGGGGGAUUGUUAAUAAUGUGUGCAAAAAUACAGGGACUUUUCUUUCUUGUCUAACUUUCAGAAAAAGGAGAACUGCUUUCUAGUGGAGUCCUGACAAAAUCUCUCACCUGAUGGGGCACUCUUUCCAUUCCUUUAUUUAGGACAACUUAGUACUAUCUAGGGAAGUCAAAUUGGAUAAAUAUGUCCCCUAUCAGUGCUAUCUUUGGGUGUUUAUAGAGGCCACUGGAUACACCAGAAACAGAAGAAAACAAACUUAGCCCAGUUUGGAGUCACUCAAUGUGACCUUAUUACCAUAAACAUUGGAUGGUGGGUGACACAACUUUGAAAAGCUCACUAGUAAAGCAGCACCCUUGAGUGGUAAUAUUGAAAAUUCUCAAUUCUGGCUGCCAGAGACAUUCACUGGAAUUACUAAAACUAAGACUUCCUGGGGCCUAACCCCAGCAUCUCAGGGUGAGGCUGCAACCUGGGCAGUGGUAUGUGUGUCUGAAAAGCUUUCCAGGUGAUUCUUGUGUGUAAUCAAGAAAUGCUAACAUUGUGGGAGUCACCCAUUGUACCCUGAAGUGGCAGCUUAUACAACCUGACUGGCGUUUGAAGCACUGGAGGAGCUUCAGGAAAUAGCAGUCCCAGUCAGGGAUGCAGCUCGGGUAGAGCGCUUGCCAAGAGCGCACAAGGACCCAAUCCUCAACACUGCAGAAACAGAAACCAAACGACCCAUUAAAAAAAGCAGUCCUAACACCCAGGAAGAACAACAGUCAAGGCCAGGAAGAAGUUAGGCCAGCCACGGAAAGCUGUUAUGCAGUGCCUGGUGGAAAGGAAGCAUUCAAUGUUGCUAGAUUAUUACUGUAUUAUUGUUUGUUGUUGAGCAUGAAGGACAAGGAGGAGCCUGGGCUGAUGUCUAUGAGUCUAACUUUCCUAUCUGUGGCUAUAAAAUUAAGGACUUCAUAAAGAGGAGCAAAUUUCAG
This 1154-nucleotide long non-coding RNA is filed under the name Heterocephalus glaber (naked mole-rat). Its description in RNAcentral is "lncRNA (ENSHGLG00100044266.1)". Lineage: Eukaryota; Metazoa; Chordata; Mammalia; Rodentia; Bathyergidae. The record is from RNAcentral.